GGACGAACGCUGGCGGCGUGCCUAACACAGUGCAAGUCGAGCGAUGAAGCUCCUUCGGGAGUGGAGUUAGCGGCGGACGGGUGAGUAACACGUGGGUAACCUGCCUCAUAGAGAGGAAUAGCCUUCCGAAAGGGAGAUUAAUACCUCAUAACAUUGCAGUUUCGCAUGGAACAGCAAUUAAAGGAGUAAUCCGCUAUGAGAUGGGCCCGCGGCGCAUUAGCUAGUUGGUGAGGUAACGGCUCACCAAGGCGACGAUGCGUAGCCGACCUGAGAGGGUGAUCGGCCACAUUGGGACUGAGACACGGCCCAGACUCCUACGGGAGGCAGCAGUGGGGAAUAUUGCACAAUGGGGGAAACCCUGAUGCAGCCAACGCCGCGUGAGUGAUGACGGCCUUCGGGUUGUAAAGCUCUGUCUUCAGGGACGAUAAUGACGGUACCUGAGGAGGAAGCCACGGCUAACUACGUGCCAGCAGCAGC
Molecule: ribosomal RNA, 477 nt
Filed under: uncultured bacterium
Lineage: Bacteria
Description: bacterial SSU rRNA
Rfam family: Bacterial small subunit ribosomal RNA
Source: RNAcentral